Molecule: ribosomal RNA, 500 nt
Filed under: uncultured bacterium
Lineage: Bacteria
Description: partial 16S ribosomal RNA
Rfam family: Bacterial small subunit ribosomal RNA
Source: RNAcentral
AUUGAACGCUGGCGGAAUGCUUUACACAUGCAAGUCGAACGGCAGCACGGACUUCGGUCUGGUGGCGAGUGGCGAACGGGUGAGUAAUGUAUCGGAACGUGCCCAGUCGUGGGGGAUAACGUAGUGAAAAUUACGCUAAUACCGCAUACGAUCUACGGAUGAAAGCGGGGGAUCGCAAGACCUCGCGCGCUUGGAGCGGCCGAUAUCAGAUUAGGUAGUUGGUGGGGUAAAGGCCCACCAAGCCAACGAUCUGUAGCUGGUGUGAGAGGACGACCAGCCACACUGGAACUGAGACACGGUCCAGACUCCUACGGGAGGCAGCAGUGGGGAAUUUUGGACAAUGGGCGAAAGCCUGAUCCAGCCAUUCCGCGUGCAGGAUGAAGGCCCUCGGGUUGUAAACUGCUUUUGUACAGAACGAAAAGGUUUCUACUAAUACUAGGAGCUCAUGACGGUACUGUAAGAAUAAGCACCGGCUAACUACGUGCCAGCAGCCGCCGUAA